AGUCGCCACGGUAAUACAGAGGGUGCGAGCGUUAAUCGGAUUUACUGGGCGUAAAGCGUGCGUAGGCGGCUUCUUAAGUCGGAUGUGAAAUCCCUGAGCUUAACUUAGGAAUUGCAUUCGAUACUGGGAAGCUAGAGUAUGGGAGAGGAUGGUAGAAUUCCAGGUGUAGCGGUGAAAUGCGUAGAGAUCUGGAGGAAUACCGAUGGCGAAGGCAGCCAUCUGGCCUAAUACUGACGCUGAGGUACGAAAGCAUGGGGAGCAAACAGGAUUAGAGACCCCUGUAGUCCCUGUCUCUUAUACA
Molecule: ribosomal RNA, 301 nt
Filed under: uncultured bacterium
Lineage: Bacteria
Description: partial 16S ribosomal RNA
Rfam family: Bacterial small subunit ribosomal RNA
Source: RNAcentral